GCACACAGGAUACAUAAUUAACCUUUCCCUAAUUAUGUGAAAAAUUUAAUGGUUAGCCUUUACAAUUAGGCUUUUACAAUGGCCUCUGUAUUUUUGACUUAUUUAUUUCAUUAGAAUUAGUUCUUGGAAGAGAAAGUCCUUUGUCAAGGAUGCACAUAUAAACUUUAAAAGUUCCUCUCAAAGAGGCGUGUACUGAUUUCCCUCCCCUUAGAGUGGUUCCGUGACUUUUCUCCACUGCUGACUGGCGGGCAGGAUCAAAUGUGCCUGUCUGAAGACCAGGAUGAGUCCUUGUUCUUGUGUGGAUUUCGUUGAUUAACUUCCUCUCGGGCUAGAACUUUUACAUUUUUAAUGUGUUUGCUCCUGGCUGUCUGCUUCCCGUUCCUUUGUGACGGUUCGGCUGUUCCCGUUCUUUCUUUUCCCUCCUGGGGUUUGGGUCUCCUUCACACUGGCUCACUAGAAGAAUCCUUUCAGGUGUUUUCGACUGUUAUUUCGUUUUAAUUUUGAACCAAUUUUAGACUAACAGAAGCUGUAAAAGUAGCACCUAUAGUUCUUGCGUGCCGGUUACCAGGAUGUCUGAUCAUUCCUCACCCUUAAUAACCCUGAAACAAUGGCCAGAACCAGGAUAUCAACAUGGCGCGGUGCUGCUAGCUAAAUGGUAGAAUUGCACCGAGCAUUGGCGGUUUCUAUUCAUUUCCCUUUCCUGUUGUAAGAGCUGAUCUCGGAUCCCGCGAUAGGUUAUUGAGCAGUUAUUUCUUUGAUGUUCUCCGUCCUCUAACCACUGAUCUUUUUAAGGUCUCAUUGACCUUCAUCCACGAAGAGAACUGAUUCCUCACUUCUUUUUUUCUGUUUGUAAAUGUUUUCUCAUGUGGAUUCCAGGCAAGAACACUACACAGUACCAGAUAUAUCGUACACCUUUGUGCUCCUUGGUCUUUGUUGACAUGACACAACUGGGAAGGUAGAACCUCAGUUGAGUAAUUGUCACCAUCAGAUCGGUCUGGAGGAACUUCUUGAUUGUUCAUUGAUGUAGGGGGUGCAGAGGAAUUUUAAUCCAGCAACGUGACUUCUCUGAUCACACCCAAAGACCUUCUAGGUCUGUGUGGUCUGGCUGGAAUACAGACACACCCUUAGUACACACCUUCAAUCCCAAAGAAUGACAUCUAACUGAGGGACAGACAAAGGGACGAAUCAGAGACAGACUUGGCAGAAUGACUCAGAGAUAAGAUACACCCAACUCUCACAAAAAUAGACAGGAAAGGGAACCUAUUUGAGAGUAAUGCAGGAAGGUGAGGUGGGAGUCAGUUCAGUAGAGUGCAGUUGGAUUCAGUUCUGUUCAGUUCUUGCAGAGUGCAGUUCAGUUCAUGGAGUUUAGAAGCAGUUUUUCCAAGCAGAACAGUUCAGUAAGAAGCUGAGAGAAGCCAGUUUGAACCAGUCAGUUUUGAGAGGAGUUUUUAAUUUGAACAGCUAACUUGAAGCAGUCAGCCAGAGUUCAGAAAGAAACUUAUUUACCAGUAGGCCUCCAUGAUGACAAUUACAUAUGGCAAAUAAAAGUUACAUUUACAAGGAGGGUCCAACCUUCUGUGGGUAGUCUUAUGUAUGUCUGGGCAGCUGGACCUGAGUUACAUAAGAAGGGUUGAAGAUAAAACCAGGGGAAACUCUCUAUUGAUUUCUGCUUAAGUUCCUGUCUUGAGUUCUUGCCUUGGAUUCCCUCAUUGAUAGACUAUAUAACCUAUAAGCUGAAAUAGAGCCUUUCUGUCCCAAUUUGAUUUUAGUUAGUGUUUUAUCACAACAAAUGGCAAACCAUGUAAGAGAAUUCAUAGAUAAUAUUAUCACAGGGUUAAGUCCUUAUUAUGAUUUCCUUAGUAUAAAGUUUUGUUGAUGUUUAUAUAGUUCUCAGGGGAACUUUGAAACCACACAGCAUUUGUAUAUAUUUAGUUUAUCACACAUAACAUUAUAUCAUAUUUGUACCUCAACAAUUUAUCUAUGUGGUAUUAUUGUGUACAUGCAUUUUUUUUGAGACAAGGUCUCUAGCCUAGGCUGGCCUUGGAUUUCCUAAACACUUGAGGAUCACUUUGAACUUCUUAUCCCCACCUUAGAAGUGUUGGGAUCAUCAGUCUUUUAUAUCCUUGGGGUUUGAACCAGGGCACUGUGUAUGCUGGGUAAGCUUGCUACCAAGUGCGCUGUAGCCUUAGAUGCAUGUGCACGUUUCUUUUGUCAAAAUUAUGUGUUCAGAUUGUGACUGUACCUUUGUUCUUCCCUUUUGAACCAAUAAUUAUUUUAUUUUAUUUUAUUUUUUUUACAGGAGCCCACAGUUUCUAUUUUUAAAGAGAUUUUGGAGUUUUACAAAGACUUUGGAUUUUUAAAAGAAAGUUUGAAUAUUUUAAAGAGACUUUGAACUUUAAAGAAUAUUUAUUAGAUUUUAUGUGCAUUGGUGUUUUGCUUGCAGGUGAGGGUGUCAGGUGCCCUAGAACUGGUUACAGACAGUUGUGAGCUAUCAUGUAAUUGCUGAGAAUUGAGCCCUCUAGAAGAGCAGCUAAUGCCCUUAACCACUGAGCAAUCUCUCUGGCCCUGGUUUUGAAAAUUAUUCUUUUAUUUAUUAAUUUAGUAUCUCAUAUAUUACAUCCCAACUGCAGUUUCCCCUUCCUUUUUUCCCCCCACCUCCUCCACCCAACCCUACCUACUCUUUCCCCAUUUGUGCCUCCUCUACUUCUGUUCAGAAAAGGGCAGGACUCCCAAGGAUAUCAACCAAACAUGACAUUUCAAGUUGCAACAAGAUCAGGAACCUACCCUUGACAAGGCCACGGAGUAAGAAGCCAUGGCUUUGAAAUUUUAAGUGUCUGAAUAUUUAAAGACUGUAAGGCUUUCAAAUUUUGGACUAUUUUAUAUUGUGAUGCUCAUAUUAAUGUGAGAUAUUGGUGGCUGAAUAAGAAAAGAAAGCUUGUGGCUUAAUAGUGCUCUGUGUGUGUGUGUGUCUGGUUGAUAAGGGGUCAGUCAUGUUGGCUUGUUUAUGUCAACUUGACCCAAGCUAGAGUCAUUGGAUAAUAGGGAGGCUCAAUUGAGAAGAUACUUCUAUACUGUCAUGCUGUAGGCAAGCUUGUAGGGCAGUUCUUAGUGAUUGGUGUGUGUGAUGGUUUGUAUAUGCUUGGCCUAGGGAGUGGCACUAUUAGGAGGGGUGACCUUGCUGGAGUAGGUGUGUCCCUGUGGGCAUGAGCUUUGAGACCCUCAUCUAGCUGCCCGGAAGUCAGUAUUCUGCUAGCAGCCUUCAGAUGAAGAUGUAGAACUCUCAGCUUCUCCUGCACCAUGCCUGCCUGGAUUCUGCCAUGUUUCUACCUUUGAAUCUAUAAGCCAGGCCCAGUUACAAGUUGUUCUUAUAAGAGUUGCCUUAGUCAUGGUGUCUGUUCACAGCAGUAAAACCCUAAGGCAAUGUGUGAAGGGUCAGCCCAUUGUGAGUGGGGCUAUCCCUGGUCCUGAGUUGGAUAAGAGUGUAGGCUAAACAAGGAAUGGAAAGCAAGCUAGUAAUCAGCACCCCUCCAUGGCUUCAGGUUCCUGUCCUGUUAGAGCUCGGGUCCUGACUUCCUUCAGUGAGGAACAAUGAUAUGGAAGUGUAAGCUAAAUAAAGCCUUUGCUUUGGUCAUAGUGUUUCAUCACAGCAGUAGUAAGUCUAACUAAGACAAAGUGGUACCAGGGUAGAGGGGUAUUGCUGUGAAAGACCUGACCAUGUUGUUUUUAGAAGGAUGGGGAGGACUUUGGAACUUAAAGCUUGAAAAGCCACAGAAUGUUGAAAGCUCAGUGGGCUGAUUUGUAGCGACGGACGAUGGAGGUCUUGUGAAGUUUCAGAGGGAAGACUUUAGCCUGGCCCUUUGAUGUUUUGAAUUAAGACUCUGUGAUUCUGGUUAGCUGGAGCUGAGAGUCAGCUGUGAUUAACAAGGGACCAGAACCGGAAAUCUUUGCUUUACUGGGACAAUUGAUAUUAGAGCUGAGAAAUUAGCAGUGAUUAAGAAGAGACCAACAUCACUGAGGUGAGAUCUUCUGGGAAAUAUUUCCUGAGAAGUAGAAAACAGAAACUCUGUUCCAGAGGAGGCCAGGACUGUACCUUGUGCUGGUAGCCAAACUUGCUAGUGUAAGAGUUGUCCAGGUGGUGCUGGUUCUGACUGUGUCAAGGGGUCCUGGAGAGCAGCUGAGGCUUGGUACUGAAUUAUUAAAGUGUUUGAAUGCUUAAGUGUGUGAAACUUUUUAAGUUUGUAAAAUAUUUUAUAUUUUGAUAUUAAUAUUAAUGUUUAAUUUGGGAGAUAAACAAGGAAGGAAGCAUUGUGGCUUAACCAUGAUGUGUUUGUCAAGUUGAUAAGGGGUCAGUUGUGCUUGCUGGUUUAAUGUCAACUUGACGCAAGCUAUAGUCACCUUAGAGGAGGGACCCUCAGCUGAGAAAAUGCCUCCAGGAGACACAACUUUAAGCAGACAGGUAUGUGGGGCAGUUUCUUAAUUAGUAGGGGAGGGCAUUAAUUUUGGGUGGGUCAGCACUGGGCUGAUGACUCUGAGUCCUGUAAGAAACAGACGGAGAAAACCAUGAGGAGCAAGCCAGGAAGCAGCAUCCUUCCAUGUCCUGCGCAUCAGCUCCUGCCUCCAGGUUCCCUGUGUUUGAAUUCCUGUCCUCAUUUCUUUCAAUGAUGAGCAGUGAUGAGGAAAUGUAAGUCUAAUAAACCCUUUCCUCCCCAGGUGGCUUCGGUCAUGGUGUCCUAUCACAGUAAUAGUAACCCUAACAUGACCCCAAGCUUCCAGGAGUCCUCCUGUCUCUGCCUGCCCUUUCCCUAGAGGAUCAUUAGGACUACAGGUGUGUGCUGCUGUACCCGACUUUAGGUGGACUUGGAUUCCAACAUUAAGUAUUCGUACCUUAUUUUGACUGAAGGCCAAGUCCGAGUCUCACACUAUGAGAGGCAGAAUAAAAGUUUUUGUUCCAAGUCUAAUUCCAGGGCCCAUGCUCUGUGCUGUCUCACCCAGACCGGAAGGGAAGUAUGAUGCAGCCUGAGCAUCUGCGCCUGUGUACACUGCCAAUGCACAGCUCAGAGAAGAGAAUGAGAUGCCCGCAGAGCCAUCUCCCCAUCGCAAGUCAAAGAGAUUUAUUUUUACUAAGCUUUAGCUUCAAAUUUAACAUAUCAAUGUUAGCUUCAAUGUUAACGUAUCAGUGUGUAUUUUAAGUUAUAGGUGGGGUUAAGAGAAAGCAGACAUGUAGGUUAACUAUAGCAAUCUAUCACCAUAUUUAAGACAAAUGAUCUAAGGCAUUCAUUAUAUUGAUGGUUAGAUCAGUUACUUUUCUCAUUGUUGUGACUAAAUACCGAUACUGAACAAAUUGGGGGGAGAGAUUAAUUUGGCUUAUGAUUUAAGAAGGGACACGGGCUUUCGUGGCAGAGAUGCGAUGCAUCUGCGGUUAGGUAGCAAAGAGUGUGCAAAAGUGGGGUGGGGCUAUAAGCUGUCAAGGCCCACCACAGUGAUCUGCUUCUUUCACCAAAAUUUCCCCUACUCAAAAAGUUUCUGUAGCUUUGCAAAGCAGAAUUACAAGCUGGGGGGCCACACGUUAAAUUUAUGAGCCCUGGGGGAAUAUUUCAUAUUCAAAUCGCUGUUGUGUCAGAUUGGAAAGGCUUUCUAUGUAAAACAUGGUGAGAUAUUGCUUGAUUGAAACCCCAGACCUGUGGAAGAUGUUUUAAAGGAACACCGGAGGGUAGAGAUCAUGGGUUUCUGCCUAUGAAAGACCAACCAUAAGCUUAUGCAUGUUGAGAUUGCAGUGUCCUCCUCUGUCUGCUUUGUAUCCCUUUCUCAUAUCUGUACAGACAAACAAUAACGUUCAGAGAAGGCUUUCCAUUGUCCCAAAUACAAAUUGCCUUGUUUAGGUUCUGAAUUUGUCUCCCAUUAGCCACAUGAUCUUAGACAAAUCAGGAUAUUCAUGCAGGUCUCACGUGCCCAGCCUGUUUCUCAGGACAAGGUCAAUUGGUAGAACACAAAUGAAGGCGAUCGACAGCACACAAGACAACACAUUCGGGGCAUUAUUCACAGUGGUGUUGCAACCCCAGCCUCACAGGUGUUAAGUAUCGGUCACAAUGAUGCCAAUUUGUAUAUAAUGGAUGAAGGAUUCAUACAGAGUAUAUGGCAUGUACUCUACAGAUUUUAUUUUUGUAAUAUACGGUAUUGUGCUUGAUUCAUUUUCCUGGUGCAACUUCCUACCACACUUUGACAAACAAGGAAUGAGCUGCUUAUCUGGUGGGGAUUUAUAGCACAGGGAGCCCACAGUCUUGGAGGGUGUCAUUGGCAGUGUAAACAGCAAGGUUAACAUGGUUGUUUGCGAAAUAAAUACAAACUUCAGUUAGUAUUUCAUCUUGAAAACCAGCUUAGGAGUGCUUUUAGAUAACCUCUUAUAAUUGAAGUCCUUACAGAAGCUUGGCCCUAUAUUGAGUUUCAUCAAAUUCAAGGUCAGACAGAAAUUCUAACAUUAAUCAGUUCAAAAUAGUGCCUAUUGUCUUCUCCUGAAACUCGCUGGCCAUCACGCUCCUUUCUCCUGCCUCCCCCUUUCUUCUUGCACCUCAUAGGUUUAGUGUUUAAGAAAAUAUAAUUUCAUUAAGUCGGAUUCGUCACAGUGGAAAGGCAGUCCCUGCCUUUUGGUCGAGUGAAUGCCUUCUGAGUGGUUACAAGCACAGUCAAAAGCAGUUCAUUCUGAUUUGAUAAAUGCAUUGAAAGCACCUGAAAUUGUUUCAUCCUCUGUCUUUCUUCCCUUUUCAUCUUUUAGAGCAAUCAAAUGAAAUUUCACCUAGCUUUCCUAAUCGAAGUUGUCUGUCUGCUCUGCCCCGGUACUAAAAAUGCAUGUUUCAAUAAGCGUUCCUAUGUGACGGUAAGUGAUAAUGGCAUCGUAUUGAACUUGGGAACCAGACCCCGCUUUCACCUGCCUGGAACCCUGAGAUGUGUUCUCUCAUUGCACACAGUGUGAGGCUUUCAACCAUCAUUGUGAAGCACAUGACGUCCGAGCAACUGCAUUGGAGAUCAAGACUCCCCCACACAAGAGCUUUUGGAAGACAUUUUUAGAUCCAAGUAAGUCUGUGUAUUUCAGAUGUUAUUUCUUCCAGUGCAGGUGAUAUUUGUUUAUUAUAAAUCAUGAUUCUUGCAAUGGGACUUUGUGUCUACAAGGUGUCUUAUCCUGGGAAGGCAUAGGGUGUGCAGUGUCCUGUGGCCCGAGUAGCAAGACUGAUGACAUCAUGAGCUGGGCAUGCUGAGCUGUAGCUUGAACACUUGUUGGAAUACAAGUCAGAACAAUUACCUCUAAAUGGGGAAUUUGUUUUCUCUAGAACCCAGAGGCCCAGAUACUUGACUUUCAUUUUGGCAAAUAUAGGAUGCUGUAAAUUAAUGACCAAAUGAUCAAGUGUCUCUUGCACCCCUGUGCUAAGUCACCUUAGAUGCAGUAACUGAUAAAAGCUGAAAUCACAUCCAGAAGUCAUCGACAUGGAGCAAUUGGUCUCUGGUGCUGCUCUGGGUGGAAUAGGAACCACGUCGAACUGAAUUCACCCAUGGCUGACCUGCCUCUGUGCUUUGCUUGUGUUAUACACUGGCUAUGGAAACCUGAGGCAAUGUCUUUACAUCCAUGAGAACCUGCGCCCUUUGCCUGCAUAUUUGGUACUAAAGCUGUCGUGUCUUCCUCAGUGUUCUUAGAGGAAUUAACUGAAAACAUUAACAGUGUAAAUAUUGAAACUUACAAUAUAUACACAUAUGGAUAUUAUUGUUAUUAUUAUUAUUAUUAUCACCAUCCUCAUCACCACUACCACCACUACCAUCAUCAUCAUCAUCAUUACGGUAGCACUCUUACCUGUCAUUAGAACAGUGAACUGCAGUGCAGCGACACCAGAAUUGCUACAAGAAGAGAGAGAAGGGAGCUUGCAUAGAUUGCUGGAAGCUAUAAGUUAUAAAACAGCAUGCCAAGGGACAGUCCUAGCAGAUGUUCUGGGGACAUUUAUUGUGUCUUAGGCUGUUAGAAAAAAACUUCAAAUUCUCAAU
Rattus norvegicus (Norway rat) is the source of this 8025-nucleotide non-coding RNA. Lineage: Eukaryota; Metazoa; Chordata; Mammalia; Rodentia; Muridae. The record is from RefSeq and is a predicted model, not a curated record.